CAUUUUUUCACAUACAUUCUCUUUGUCUUAUCCAAUCUGAACAUGGGCAUGGUACCACUGCUUAUCAGUGAAUAGUUUUGCUUCUUCACAUGUUGAAGUUUGAACAUUGGAGAAGCACCCUGAGGCAAGCAUAAAAAGCAGGGUUUAUUUAAAAAGGUGUUACAUAGACUUCUCCCAGGAGGGGCCAUAGGUGGUAUCCCAAGAAGCACUGUGUACUGCAUUUUUAUAAGUCCUCUCCUUCCUGCAUACUGUUGAGGCCCAGGAAUGCUUGGUGGGAGUGGGAACCAGGUGGGCUGAGUGAGAACAGGAUGGUGCAGCCAUAGACACAUUAAUUAACAACUUUAUAGCUCUCUGUAGAGAGCUGCAAUUCCUGGGACAGGUUACCUUAGCUACAGACUGGAACAGGGGCAGGUUCUUGAUAAGAGUGGAGGAAGGGCUCUGAAGGAAUUUACAUUUCAGUCCCUCAGGGGACAGUCUCAGACUUCCCGGACUCACUCAAAAUUGGCCUGACUGGAUCUAACCUGACUCUAUUUACCUAUCUAUACCGACUUGUCUAAUUCUGGCUUCAUUGACCCCUCUAAUUUUAGGAACUUCUUACUCCUCUAAGGAAAUAGGACAGCGAACUGGAAAGGGGUGGUUUGGGGCAAGCAAUUUUGGAGUUCCCUUUUAGAAGUCAGGUUGGAUUGAAGUCUGGUUGGGGAAGAAUAGAUAGUCAUCUGGGGGUGGGUGCUUCUAUGAGAGAAACAAAAAACAUGAGUACUGAGUAAAUGUUGCAGCAUCUGGGACAUGUCAGUGAAGAUGAUAGCAAUUAAUACUCUCUCACCAGGAGGUGUGAGGGCUGAGAAGUUGUCCCCAUAACAAGGCCAGAGUAGACAAGACUUUUAUUUGGGGAUGUAAAUCUUUUAACAACCCCAGAGUUAUCAGGAAUGUAAACACAGCAAUUAACUCUUCUUUUUUUAAAUAUUUAUUUUUUAGUUGUAGUUGGACACAAUACCUUUAUUUAUUUUUAUGUGGUGCUGAGGAUUGAAUCCAAGGCCUCACACUUACUAGGUGAGGGCUCUACUGCUGAGCUACAGCCCUGGCCCCACAACAUUUAACUCUUAAUGUUACAAAUCCCCAUUCCCAUAAGAUGUAGUUAAGCUACUUAAUGUCAUCAGAGCUUGUAAAAUCUAUUUACAUAGAGAAUCCUUUAUUUCUGUUACUUAGGGCUGGAUUGUCAUACUAGCCAACAUCAAGCCUACCUGUGUAGGUUAGGAAUAUCUGUAGGCCUUAACCUAACUAAAAAAUUGAGUUCACUUACUUGCUAUAAAAUUCAUUACAAGGUACAUAUUUCUUUUUAUGUAAUAACCACCCCAAUCAGAUUAUAGAACAUUGCCAUCACUCCUCUUUCCCCAGAAUUUUAUCAUGCCAGAUGUAGAUAACUUUUUAAGAAAUGAAUGAACAGUUUUUCUUUUUCUUUGUUUGGAACUGGGUAUUGAACCCAGGGGUGUUUAACCACUGAGCCACAUCUCUAGUCCUUUUUAUUUUUUGAGAGGGGGACUCUCUGAGUUGCUUAGAGCCUUGCUAAAUUGCUGAGGCCAGUCGGAGACUGUCUCCUGAGGGACUGAAAUGUAAAUUCCUUCAUCCUGCCUCAGCCUCUGGAGUCACAGGGAUUACAGAUGUGAGUCACCACACCCAGCAAGUGAACUGUUUUAAAAAGUGACAGUUUUAUUAUUUAGCCAGCAGUAUGUGAGGGUUACAUUCCUCCACAUCAUCUUCUUUUAUGGUACUGGGUUUUGAAACCAGUGACCCCUUUACCAUUGAGGCUGGUCUGAAGCUUGUGAUUCUACAGCCUCAGCCUCCCAACUCACUGUAAUUACAGGCAUGCUCCACGGUGUCUGGCUUCCCCUGUAUCAUUUACAGUGCUUCUUAGUAGUCUACUGUUUUGAGUAUGACCAUUCUAGUGGAUAUAAUGUGGUAUCUCACACUGUUCAUAUCCAAAU
This 1982-nucleotide long non-coding RNA is filed under the name Marmota monax (woodchuck). Lineage: Eukaryota; Metazoa; Chordata; Mammalia; Rodentia; Sciuridae. The record is from RNAcentral.